GACGAACGCUGGCGGCGUGCUUAACACAUGCAAGUCGAACGGAAAGGCCCUGCUUUUGUGGGGUGCUCGAGUGGCGAACGGGUGAGUAACACGUGAGUAACCUGCCCUUGACUUUGGGAUAACUUCAGGAAACUGGGGCUAAUACCGGAUAGGAGCUCCUGCUGCAUGGUGGGGGUUGGAAAGUUUCGGCGGUUGGGGAUGGACUCGCGGCUUAUCAGCUUGUUGGUGGGGUAGUGGCUUACCAAGGCUUUGACGGGUAGCCGGCCUGAGAGGGUGACCGGCCACAGGGGGGAUGAGAGACGGCCAGGACUCUGAGGGGGGGAGGAAGGGGGGAUUAUGGAAAAAGGGGGGGAAGCCGGAUGCAGCAACGCCGCGGGGGGGAGGAGGGCCUUGGGUUUGAAACCCCUUUGCGCCGGUGACGAGGGUGGAGUGAGGGUAGGGGAAAAAAAAGCCCCGCCAAACUAGGUG
This 468-nucleotide ribosomal RNA is filed under the name uncultured bacterium. RNAcentral's name for it is "partial 16S ribosomal RNA". It matches the Rfam family "Bacterial small subunit ribosomal RNA", at positions 28 to 507 of the family's 1533-position model. The record is from RNAcentral.